This 500-nucleotide ribosomal RNA is filed under the name uncultured bacterium. RNAcentral describes it as "partial 16S ribosomal RNA". It matches the Rfam family "Bacterial small subunit ribosomal RNA", at positions 30 to 523 of the family's 1533-position model. The record is from RNAcentral.
AUUGAACGCUGGCGGAAUGCUUUACACAUGCAAGUCGAACAGCAGCACGGACUUCGGUCUGGUGGCGAGUGGCGAACGGGUGAGUAAUGUAUCGGAACGUGCGCAGUCGUGGGGGAUAACGUAGUGAAAAUUACGCUAAUACCGCAUACGAUCUAUGGAUGAAAGCGGGGGAGCGCAAGACCUCGCGCGAUUGGACCGGCCGAUAUCAGAUUAGGUAGUUGGUGGGGUAAAGGCCCACCAAGCCAACGAUCUGUAGCUGGUCUGAGAGGACGACCAGCCACACUGGAACUGAGACACGGUCCAGACUCCUACGGGAGGCAGCAGUGGGGAAUUUUGGACAAUGGGCGAAAGCCUGAUCCAGCCAUUCCGCGUGCAGGAUGAAGGCCCUCGGGUUGUAAACUGCUUUUGUACAGAACAAAAAGGUUUCUACUAAUACUAGGAGCUCAUGACGGUACUGUAAGAAUAAGCACCGGCUAACUACGUGCCAGCCGCCGCAGUAA